Meloidogyne hapla is the source of this 45-nucleotide non-coding RNA. The record is from Rfam. Lineage: Eukaryota; Metazoa; Nematoda; Chromadorea; Rhabditida; Meloidogynidae.
CAAACGGCCCUCUUUAGGGCCACAAAUCUAAUAAGUGAAACGAGA